Long non-coding RNA from Carcharodon carcharias (great white shark), 473 nucleotides. RefSeq lists it as uncharacterized. The transcript is spliced from 3 exons. The record is from RefSeq and is a predicted model, not a curated record. NCBI's taxonomy places the organism in Eukaryota, Metazoa, Chordata, Chondrichthyes, Lamniformes, Lamnidae.
CCCUCUAAUGGAGAGCAUGACAUCCCAUCAGAGAUACAGCUUACUGGCGAGAGGUGAUGCAGCUCCUUCAAUGGCUUGAAUGCAUUUCAACUCACCUCUCCACUACCAAAUAAAAUCGCAAGAAAUGACGGUAAUUCAGACUUCGGAGGGCUGAAGGAAGGAUGAUAUGCUUCUGGGCAAUGUAUCGUCCAACAUCACUCUCCCUGUGAGAAUUUUCACAUCCACCUGAGAGGGCAGGCCUUCGGUGUAAUGUCUCAUCCAAAAGGGGGGAUUUCCAAUACUGCAGAACUCCCUCAGGACUUCUCCUUUGAUAGUGCCAUACUUUCUCAAUGCUGAACCUCCCAGUAUAGCGGAGUUCAGUAUUGACCCUUCAACAGUGCUGCACUCCCUCAGUACCGACCCUCUGACAGUGCAGCACUCCCUCAGUACCGACCCUCUGACAGUGCAGCACUCCCUCAGUACUGACCCUCUGA